GGAACAGGUCGUCACAGAGGGUGAGAAUCCCGUAUGUGACCGGCGACCAACCCCAUGUGAAACCUCUUCGACGAGUCGAGUUGUUUGGGAAUGCAGCUCAAAAUGGGUGGUAAAUUUCAUCUAAAGCUAAAUACCGGCCAGAGACCGAUAGCGCACAAGUAGAGUGAUCGAAAGAUGAAAAGCACUUUGGAAAGAGAGUCAAACAGUACGUGAAAUUGUUGAAAGGGAAGCGCUUGCAACCAGACCUGUCCGCGGGCGUUCCACUUCCGUUCUCGGGGGCCCACUCGCCCGUGAUCAGGCCAGCAUCGGUUCGGGCGGCCGGAUAAAGGCCUUGGGAAUGUAGCUCCCCUCGGGGAGAACUUAUAGCCCUCGGUGCAAUGCGGUCAGCCCGGACCGAGGACCGCGCUUCGGCUAGGAUGCUGGCGUAAUGGUUGUAAGCGACCCGUCUUGAAACACGGACCAAGGAGUUAAUUAUCUAUGCGAGUGUUUGGGUGUCAAACCCAUGCGCGUAAUGAAAGUGAACGGAGGUGAGAACCCUUAAGGGCGCAUCAUCGACCGAUCCUGAUGUCUUCGGAUGGAUUUGAGUACGAGCAUAGCUAAUUUGACCCGAAAGAUAGUGAACUAUACCUGAAUAGGGUGAAGCCAGAGGAAACUCUGGUGGAGGCUCGCAGCGGUUCUGACGUGCAAAUCGAUCGUCAAAUUUGGGUAUA
Molecule: ribosomal RNA, 710 nt
Filed under: Lecidea stratura
Lineage: Eukaryota; Fungi; Ascomycota; Lecanoromycetes; Lecideales; Lecideaceae
Description: partial large subunit ribosomal RNA
Rfam family: Eukaryotic large subunit ribosomal RNA
Source: RNAcentral